ACGGAGCUCCCUUCACUCCAA
RNAcentral lists this microRNA (21 nucleotides) under Corchorus capsularis. Its description in RNAcentral is "sRNA CCACVL1_21818". The record is from RNAcentral. Lineage: Eukaryota; Viridiplantae; Streptophyta; Magnoliopsida; Malvales; Malvaceae.